This 253-nucleotide ribosomal RNA is filed under the name uncultured bacterium. RNAcentral describes it as "partial 16S ribosomal RNA". It matches the Rfam family "Bacterial small subunit ribosomal RNA", at positions 524 to 776 of the family's 1533-position model. The record is from RNAcentral.
UACGUAGGGUGCGAGCGUUGUCCGGAUUUAUUGGGCGUAAAGAGCUCGUAGGCGGCUUGUCGCGUCUGCUGUGAAAAUCCGGGGCUCAACCCCGGACUUGCAGUGGGUACGGGCAGACUAGAGUGUGGUAGGGGAGACUGGAAUUCCUGGUGUAGCGGUGAAAUGCGCAGAUAUCAGGAGGAACACCGAUGGCGAAGGCAGGUCUCUGGGCCACUACUGACGCUGAGAAGCGAAAGCAUGGGGAGCGAACAGG